RNAcentral lists this ribosomal RNA (301 nucleotides) under uncultured bacterium. RNAcentral describes it as "partial 16S ribosomal RNA". It matches the Rfam family "Bacterial small subunit ribosomal RNA", at positions 509 to 808 of the family's 1533-position model. The record is from RNAcentral.
CAGUCGCCGCGGAAUACAGAGGGUGCGAGCGUUAAUCGGAUUUACUGGGCGUAAAGCGUGCGUAGGCGGCUUCUUAAGUCGGAUGUGAAAUCCCUGAGCUUAACUUAGGAAUUGCAUUCGAUACUGGGAAGCUAGAGUAUGGGAGAGGAUGGUAGAAUUCCAGGUGUAGCGGUGAAAUGCGUAGAGAUCUGGAGGAAUACCGAUGGCGAAGGCAGCCAUCUGGCCUAAUACUGACGCUGAGGUACGAAAGCAUGGGGAGCAAACAGGAUUAGAUACCCCAGUAGUCCCUGUCUCUUAUACA